AAAGGACGAUGGAUUUUGUUAGUUUCAGUUCAUUCAUUAUCUUUAUUCUUCACUCUCAAAUUACGUAGUCUCCAACUGAAAGGAUUAUAAUUAAGCUAGCUAACUAAGUCAACAUAUGGCUUAUCUGAAAUGUUUGUUCUUCAUGCUUCUUCUUUUGGUGACUCUUCAGCUUGUCUUCCAAGAUAUUUUCCAAGAUGUCGAUCGAUGUUUGAUUCAUAAAUCAAAAAACUCAAAAAAUUGUGUAUUCGUGUAGACGACUUCAAGAGCUUUCCAACAAAUAGUAUAUUGUGCAGAACUAAAAAUAUCUAAAUGUCGGUAUUUUAUAUUUGUAUAUGUACUGAUAUUAAUUUUUUCAAAUGUCGAAAUUUCUUACGAUGACGACUCAUCGUUCAUUUGGUAUUUAUUCAUAUCGACAUCGGUCAGUCAGAGCAAUUAUCGGCCAAAUUUGACCAACUCAUCGGCACCAGUGUUGAAAACUCCAAGCACUCUAGCACUACUGAGCAAUAAGCCAAAUCCAGGCUACCGUAAGCCACCCACUUAUGAAGAAAAGAAGGCCAGAGCUUCCAAAGAUUUAUGCUAUUAUUGCGAUGACAAAUUCAUACCAGGCCAUCGUUGCAAGGGCCGCUAGCUACUUCCGAUUUGAUUCCGAUACGAAUUGUUUCAUUGAGAUGAGCGAGGAGGAACAGUCCCUGCCAGUAGUAGAACUCGCGGGGGAAGAGGAAGUAUUAUUAAAGGAGAAUCAGUUACAGUUAGUUAGAAGUUAACUAAAUUAGAAUCAGUUACAAUAAAUCCUAUAUAAGGAAACCGUGUAAUGAGGAAUGGAUCAUUAGUUUUCAAUACAAUUCUUUAGUUUGUAAUAUGGUAUCAGAGCGGGCGAUUUUUUUUCCAUAAACUUUGUCUCUGAUGGAGCUUGACCAAACGACGAUGCAACUUCGCCAAUGACGGAAGCGUCACGUUCCAACAAUCUCCAGAGGAUCAAAUCCCCUCCAGGUCGACGAUCGCGCCGAUCGCUCCUCCAUAUUUCUUCGUCGAUCGCGACCAUCCGCGAUCGCAACUUCCGGGUCAUCCGCGA
Molecule: long non-coding RNA, 1072 nt
Filed under: Zostera marina
Lineage: Eukaryota; Viridiplantae; Streptophyta; Magnoliopsida; Alismatales; Zosteraceae
Description: long non-coding RNA (ZMAR_LNC000283)
Source: RNAcentral